AAGUUCUGGAUCUACCUCAAUAUUUUGCUGCUUGUUCUUUUGUUUCAAAUUCCACAAAGGCAGAUCCCUUUGGAUUUCCAGUAGACUUAUAAUGUGGUAGACUUCUAUAAAAAGACAUGGCCACAUUUUCCAGAUACUCUUUCAAUCCAGCUGUGAUUUUGGGAAGUAACUCCUAUAUGUUUAACUUCUAAGUAAGAAUUGCUUACAUAUUUACUUGGAAUGUUAAAAAA
RNAcentral lists this long non-coding RNA (230 nucleotides) under Lynx pardinus (Iberian lynx). The record is from RNAcentral. Lineage: Eukaryota; Metazoa; Chordata; Mammalia; Carnivora; Felidae.